This 550-nucleotide ribosomal RNA is filed under the name uncultured bacterium. RNAcentral's name for it is "bacterial SSU rRNA". It matches the Rfam family "Bacterial small subunit ribosomal RNA", at positions 777 to 1322 of the family's 1533-position model. The record is from RNAcentral.
AAUAGAUACCCCCGGUAGUCCACGCCGUAAACGGUGGGUACUAGGUGUGGGUUUCCUUCCUUGGGAUCCGUGCCGUAGCUAACGCAUUAAGUACCCCGCCUGGGGAGUACGGCCGCAAGGCUAAAACUCAAAAGGAAUUGACGGGGGGCCCGCACAAGCGGCGGAGCAUGUGGAUUAAUUCGAUGCAACGCGAAGAACCUUACCUGGGUUUGACAUGCACAGGACGCCGGCAGAGAUGUCGGUUCCCUUGUGGCCUGUGUGCAGGUGGUGCAUGGCUGUCGUCAGCUCGUGUCGUGAGAUGUUGGGUUAAGUCCCGCAACGAGCGCAACCCUUGUUCCAUGUUGCCAGCGCGUAAUGGCGGGGACUCAUGGGAGACUGCCGGGGUCAACUCGGAGGAAGGUGGGGAUGACGUCAAGUCAUCAUGCCCCUUAUGUCCAGGGCUUCACACAUGCUACAAUGGCCGGUACAAAGGGCUGCGAUGCCGUGAGGUUAAGCGAAUCCUUUUAAAGCCGGUCUCAGUUCGGAUCGGGGUCUGCAACUCGACCCCGUG